GAUGAACGCUGGCGGCGUGCUUAACACAUGCAAGUCGAGCGAGAAUUUUAAUCGGAAGCUUCGGCCGAAGAUUGAAAAGGAAAGCGGCGGACGGGUGAGUAACGCGUGGGUAACCUGCCUUAUACUGGGGGAUAACAGUUGGAAACGGCUGCUAAAACCGCAUAAGCAUACAUUGUCGCAUGACAGAGUGUGAAAAUAUUUAUAGGGUAUGAGAUGGGGCCCGCGUCUGAUUAGCUAGUUGGUAAGGUAACGGCUUACCAAGGCGACGAUCAGUAGCCGGCUUGAGAGAGUGACCGGCCACAUUGGGACUGAGACACGGCCCAAACUCCUACGGGAGGCAG
This 341-nucleotide ribosomal RNA is filed under the name uncultured Bacillota bacterium. RNAcentral describes it as "bacterial SSU rRNA". It matches the Rfam family "Bacterial small subunit ribosomal RNA", at positions 28 to 351 of the family's 1533-position model. The record is from RNAcentral. Lineage: Bacteria; Bacillati; Bacillota.